Cucumis sativus (cucumber) is the source of this 1924-nucleotide long non-coding RNA. RefSeq lists it as uncharacterized. The transcript has 4 exons. The record is from RefSeq and is a predicted model, not a curated record. Lineage: Eukaryota; Viridiplantae; Streptophyta; Magnoliopsida; Cucurbitales; Cucurbitaceae.
AUGGAACUUUGAGGAAGGAAAUCUGCAUUACUCCUUGAGAGAGGGAAAGCAGAGGGUCCAAGUUCAUCUUUGAAUUGUUCUUGAGUCUUUUAUUUGGUUGCUAUUAGUUUGAGUAAUUUUUGCUUUGAAUCUGUAAUCGCGAUCAAUACUCUAUUGAUCCACGAAGAGUCUCAAUAAUUCGUGUAAGUUUUCAUAUUAUAUCAACAUAUACGAACACUGCUGUGGUGUUCUAUCAUAAUUCUGAGAUACUGAGCUUCGUUUAAGAUCCUUCACUGUGGCCAAACCGAGUUUGUGAGUUGAACCUUUCAUGUAUUUAUGAGAAAUGUUUCUCUAUCUAUUUGAAGUCUGUUUGAUGGAGCAUUUGGUUGGGAAGAGAUGACUAACUUUUAGUGGAAAGGCGAAGGACUGGUGAAGCCCUGAAGGGGUGUUGAAGUUGGCUAAAGUUUAUGUGUUGAAUUGAAUUUCUUUAAGAGAGUGGGUUUUUUUUUUUUUUUUUGUAGCUUGAUUUUUAAAUUUGAAUUAUGUUUAUUAUACUAUAAUUAUUUAUAAACCCUAAACCCUAAUAGCAUUUUAGUAUCACGAAGUUGGAUUAUUUUGUUGCAGAUGGAAUUUGUGUCUAGAGCAUUGAGCAUCCUGGUUGCGUUUGGGAUGCCAAGUUUUUGGAAAAUGGAGAUAUUGUCACAGCUUGUUUAGAUGGAGUAGUACGUGUCUGGACGGCAGAACAGGAAAGAAUUGCUGAUCCCCAAGAAUUGGAGUUAUUUGCUUCAAGACUGUCUCAGUAUAAGUUGAAGAGGAAGAGGGUUGGAGGAUUGAAAUUGGAAGAAUUAUCUGGGAUGGAUGCUUUACAAAUUCCAGGAAGAGGGUUGGAGGAUUGAAAUUGGAAGAAUUACCUGGGAUGGAUGCUUUACAAAUUCCAGGCUGUACUGGAGCUUGUCAUAAUCUUCCCACGUUGCCUCAUGAGGAGGGAGACCUUGCCAUUUAAUCAAAACCUCACAGCUUCCUCUUUUAUUCUUCGAGUACCCAGAUAUUUCCUCCGGUAUAGAUUUCCACUCAUGAGUUUCAGUAACGUAAGGCAGCAUGUCUGUCUGUACAAGUUGAUGAUCACCAACCAUUUUUUUGAGUUGGGACACAUGAAACACUGGAUGGAUGGAAGCGGAUGCUGGCAACUCUAGCUUAUACGCAACCAGUAUGAUGCGUUCCACAAUCGUAUAAGGCCCAAAGAACUUGGGGGAUAGUUUCUCAUUUUUCUUUUGUCGUAAUGAGAUCUGUCUAUAGGGCCUAAUCUUCAGGAAGACCAUAUCGCCAACUGCAUACUCCACAUCAUGACGCUUCAAGUCUACGUUAUUUUUCAUCUUGUCCUGUGCGACGAAUUAGUGUUCUUUUAGGACUCCCAGAAUUUCAACUCAUGCCUUGAGCUAUUCGUUUAAGGUAGUGUUUGGAGUGUCCCGGUCACCAUAAAACAUCAAUGGUGGUGGCAUACGUCCAUAGAUAGCCUGAAAUGGAGUGACCCCUACGGAUCUCUAAAAAGUAGUGUUGUACCAAUAUUCAGCCCAAUGUAUCCAUUUUGACCAUUCCUUAGGCCGUUCUCCACAAAAACAUCGCAGAUACGUCUCCACUCCCCUAUUAACCACCUCAGUUUUCCCAUCCGACUGAGGGUGAUAAGCGGUGCUUCGAUUUAAUCGGGUGCCUGCCAUUUUGAACAUUUCUUGCCAAAAGUUGCUCAAGAAUACCUUAUCUCGGUCGGACACUAUCGAUUUGGGAAAGCCAUGAAGUCGGACAAUCUCCUUAACAAAUAUAUUUGCUGAAUCUGUCCACCACUACAAAGAUGACUUCGAAACCAUUCGAUCUUGGUAAGCCCUCGAUAAAGUCCAUAGAUAUAUCGCUCCAAAUAUUGUUUGGACUGUCCAGGGACAGCAGCAGUCCG